UACAGAGGUCUCAAGCGUUGUUCGGAUUCAUUGGGCGUAAAGGGUGCGUAGGCGGCGCGGUAAGUCGGGUGUGAAAUCUUGGAGCUUAACUCCGAAACUGCAUUCGAUACUGCCGUGCUUGAGGACUGGAGAGGAGACUGGAAUUUACGGUGUAGCGGUGAAAUGCGUAGAUAUCAAGAGGAACACCUGCGGCGAAGGCGGGUUGCUGGGCCGACACUGACGCUGAGGCGCGAAAGCCAGGGGAGCAAACGGG
RNAcentral lists this ribosomal RNA (253 nucleotides) under uncultured bacterium. Its description in RNAcentral is "partial 16S ribosomal RNA". It matches the Rfam family "Bacterial small subunit ribosomal RNA", at positions 524 to 776 of the family's 1533-position model. The record is from RNAcentral.